GAUGAACGCUGGCGGCGUGCCUAAUACAUGCAAGUAGAACGCUGAAGGAGGAGCUUGCUCUUCUGGAUGAGUUGCGAACGGGUGAGUAACGCGUAGGUAACCUGCCUGGUAGCGGGGGAUAACUAUUGGAAACGAUAGCUAAUACCGCAUGACAACAGUUAUUGCAUGAUAACUGUUUAAAAGGGGCAACUGCUCCACUACCAGAUGGACCUGCGUUGUAUUAGCUAGUUGGUGAGGUAACGGCUCACCAAGGCGACGAUACAUAGCCGACCUGAGAGGGUGAUCGGCCACACUGGGACUGAGGCACGGCCCAGACUCCUACGGGAGGCAGCAGUAGGGAAUCUUCGGCAAUGGACGGAAGUCUGACCGAGCAACGCCGCGUGAGUGAAGAAGGGUUUCGGAUCGUAAAGCUCUGUUGUAAGAGAAGAACGAGUGUGAGAGUGGAAAGUUCACACUGUGACGGUAUCUGACCAGAAAGGGACGGCUAACUACGUG
RNAcentral lists this ribosomal RNA (495 nucleotides) under uncultured bacterium. RNAcentral describes it as "partial 16S ribosomal RNA". It matches the Rfam family "Bacterial small subunit ribosomal RNA", at positions 28 to 507 of the family's 1533-position model. The record is from RNAcentral.